AUGGACCACGCGUACACUGCGGUUCUGAGUGCGCGGUCCGCACCCACCUGACGACUGCUCGCUACGUUUUGUCGGCC
RNAcentral lists this small RNA (77 nucleotides) under Xanthomonas oryzae pv. leersiae. RNAcentral describes it as "sX9 sRNA". It matches the Rfam family "Xanthomonas sRNA sX9". The record is from RNAcentral. Lineage: Bacteria; Pseudomonadati; Pseudomonadota; Gammaproteobacteria; Lysobacterales; Lysobacteraceae.